AAAACAAAAUCAAAGAACCACCAAACAUGGCCUUAACAUCACCUGAGCACACUUCCGUCUCCGGCUCCGACUCACCGAAGCGUCUGAGUCUGGGUUUCCUUACGUCUAUAUCAUCCCUCAUGUCUCUUUGCGCCAAGCAUGCAACUAGAGUCUCCACCAAGCUCAAGACCACGGCCUUGUCCACCCACCACCACCAUGACGGCGUUAAAACCCUAAAACUACUGUCGCUGAAAUCGCCGCUUGUCCGCCCUAAGCAACUAUUGAUGCAAAUAAGCAAUAAGACAAUCGCUUUUGUUCACAGCAAGAAAAGAGCCGCAGACGACGACGAGGACGUUGUGAUGGGGCCUGAGGAGUUCGGGGACGGUGGGGUUUGGCAAAAGACGAUCUUAAUGGGGAAUAAGUGUCAGCCGUUGGAUUUCUCGGGUGUAAUUUAUUAUGAUAUUAGUGGGAAGCAACUUAACGAGAUCCCUCUCCGAUCGCCUUUUGCCAGUCCUUUGCCUCGGUACUUGACUCGAGAGAAGGAAAUGGUAGAAAGUUGAUAAAACUCAAUUUUUAUUUUUUUUUACAUUGUUUUAGCCUCUUUUUGAAAUUAUGUAUUGGUGUGGACAUAGUAAUUACAGUUUGGAGAAAUCCUGGAAAUGCAUAUGUAAUCACAUCAUCCAAUAAUU
RNAcentral lists this unclassified non-coding RNA (668 nucleotides) under Hevea brasiliensis (rubber tree). The record is from RNAcentral. Lineage: Eukaryota; Viridiplantae; Streptophyta; Magnoliopsida; Malpighiales; Euphorbiaceae.